CUGCUGCCUCCCGUAGGAGUCUGGUCCGUGUCUCAGUACCAGUGUGGGGGACCUUCCUCUCAGAACCCCUACGCAUCGUCGCCACGGUGGGCCGUUACCCCGCCGUCUAGCUAAUGCGCCGCAUGCCCAUCCUCUUCCGAUGAAUCUUUCCUCGAUCUCGGAUGCCCGAAACCGAUAUACGCGGGAUUAGCCUCCCUUUCGGAAGGUUGUCCCCUGAAGAGGGCAGGUUGCAUACGUGUUACUCACCCGUGCGCCGGUCGCCGG
RNAcentral lists this ribosomal RNA (264 nucleotides) under uncultured bacterium. RNAcentral describes it as "partial 16S ribosomal RNA". The record is from RNAcentral.